GUAACAAUGGCAAGCAAGCACCUGUUAAAAAAUGAUGGGUGAUUGCUAGCCACGUGGCAGAAACAAACCCAUGCGAUUGAGAAGAGUCGUUAGCCAUUCACGGAAGAAAGUAAAUUUAAUGGAAGAAUUCGCGGGAAGAAACAGCUAAGCGGAGGGGAAACAAAAACUUCACUAAUCUAAACAACACUCGUUACUCUGCCUUAACCUUCUUUAAAUUCUCUUCUCAUCGCUCUUCAUCAACGCAAUUGUUACUCUCUUUUCUAUAAUCCUUAUAGAAGAACAGCCAGACCCCUUUAUCCAUUUAAGCUAUUCUCACCCACCCGUCCUGAUAAGAUCAUUCAAGUUACCCCGUCUCUGAAGAAGAGAGCACAGUUGGGUCCACUUCUGCUGCCACUGCCACUGCCACUGCCACUGCCACUGCCACUGAUGUGUUCAUGCUCACUUACUUGGAGGUGACAUUUUCCGUCUCCUUCACCUGGGGAAUAGUUGUUUAUGAGAGGUGGGUGAGGCUAAUGUUUUGGUCGACCUCUUCCUGGUGGGUAACGUGGAUUUUGGAAUCCCCGGGCUUUAUGAUGCUGCCAAGGAGGUCCUUAAGAACUUCCAGCUCAGUGAUCUUCCUGAAGUGGAUUGCCUAUAGAUCUCUCAAAGUCUAGAUAAUCAUUGCCACUUAAAGACACUUUCUCGAUCAUCCAAAUGCUAAGCCUUUGCCGCAUCCAUUUUUAGCAAUAUACCUCAUCAAUUCUCCACAAGGUCAAUUAACACUCUACUAUGAGCCUCACUGUGUAUACAACAAGGAUUUUCUUGAGAAGGAACGUGCCAACAUUGUUAUCACACUCGUCAUAAAACAGCUUCUGCCUAAAUUUACUUUGGUUUCAGGACUAGAAGAUGCAGUUCAGCUUGCAAAGUUGGUGCAGGCCAAGUUCAUUGCACCAAUGAAAAAUGGAGACCUCGAUAGCAAAGGGUUCUUGCCACAAUCAUUCAAGGUUUGCUUUCUUUUAUCUAACCUCGUCAGUUUCCAUUGAAAUAAAAUUACGAUGGGGGUACAUAAAUUUGGAUACUGCAAACACGAUAUGGGAAUUACUGUAGUUAGCGCUCCUAAAUUGAAAUUCUUGCACAACACAGAGGAAGAAUUUGAAAAGAACAACAAAAGGAGAGAGGGAUGAACUAUACGUGUAAAAUCUAUUGUAUAGAAUGUGAUAUAAAAAAAUGUUAUUUUAUACGUGUAAACUUGUUCCCAAUUGAGUUCUGGAAGUUCAGGAGCCUCUUCUUGAAUCCAUUUCUUGGUUUAUCAAAGACAGCCUAAUUAUGCUGGAAAAAGUUGAUUGUCAUCAGUUCUCUGCCCAUAAGCUGGUACCAUUUCAUAUUAGGCAAGGCCGCGAAGGAAGAAAAUGGAAAAUGAAAAUCUGUUCAACCAAUUUACUCGAGUCAAGUUCUAUUAGAAAACGAAAAAAUUGAUAAAAUAUUUUUUUUUUCUUGUUUUUAAUUUGAAGAAAAAAGAAGGCAACAUAAAAUUCCUUAUCUUUAAUACACAAAAUUUGAGCACCUUGAAAUAUUUAAAAUUCACGCGGGGAAUGUUUAGUAAAUCGAUUUUUGGUUUCUUUGUUGUGUAUUGCGUCCUUGUUUCAGAAUCCUGAAUAUUGUUUGUAAAGAUGAAGAGAAAAUGACUUGUGCAAUGUAUUCAUUCUAAGAACAUGCCAGAUUAAUGUACAAUAUCGCAAUACUGCCAACCUAAGAUGGUAUAGAAACAGUUGUGAUUAUAUCAUACGGAAACUGGGUUUUUUCUUCCCAGUUCGUACUGUUCGUACGUUCGGAUCACUGGUGUGUUUCAACUGGAAAGACUUUGAUAUGCUUUUGUACUUUCUUCUCUGAAAUUGUGCUGUCUUGUCAUUCAUCAAAACAUAAGUAUUUUUUCAACGGCAUGAAGAGAUGUAAUAAAAUACCUACUGU
Long non-coding RNA from Populus trichocarpa (black cottonwood), 1947 nucleotides. RefSeq lists it as uncharacterized. NCBI's taxonomy places the organism in Eukaryota, Viridiplantae, Streptophyta, Magnoliopsida, Malpighiales, Salicaceae. The record is from RefSeq and is a predicted model, not a curated record. The transcript is spliced from 5 exons.